RNAcentral lists this ribosomal RNA (411 nucleotides) under Anaplasma phagocytophilum. RNAcentral describes it as "bacterial SSU rRNA". It matches the Rfam family "Bacterial small subunit ribosomal RNA", at positions 62 to 503 of the family's 1533-position model. Lineage: Bacteria; Pseudomonadati; Pseudomonadota; Alphaproteobacteria; Rickettsiales; Anaplasmataceae. The record is from RNAcentral.
ACGGAUUAUUCUUUAUAGCUUGCUAUAAGGAAUAGUUAGUGGCAGACGGGUGAGUAAUGCAUAGGAAUCUACCUAGUAGUAUGGGAUAGCCACUAGAAAUGGUGGGUAAUACUGUAUAAUCCCUGCGGGGGAAAGAUUUAUCGCUAUUAGAUGAGCCUAUGUUAGAUUAGCUAGUUGGUAGGGUAAAGGCCUACCAAGGCGAUGAUCUAUAGCUGGUCUGAGAGGAUGAUCAGCCACACUGGAACUGAGAUACGGUCCAGACUCCUACGGGAGGCAGCAGUGGGGAAUAUUGGACAAUGGGCGCAAGCCUGAUCCAGCUAUGCCGCGUGAGUGAGGAAGGCCUUAGGGUUGUAAAACUCUUUCAGUAGGGAAGAUAAUGACGGUACCUACAGAAGAAGUCCCGGCAAACUC